CCUACGGGAGGCAGCAGUGAGGAAUAUUGGUCAAUGGCCGAGAGGCUGAACCAGCCAAGUCGCGUUAGGGCAGACGGCCCUACGGGUUGUAAACCUCUUUUGUCGGGGAGCAAAGCGAACCACGUGUGGUUCAUUGAGAGUACCCGAAGAAAAAGCAUCGGCUAACUCCGUGCCAGCAGCCGCGGUAAUACGGAGGUGGCAAGCGUUGUCCGGAUUUACUGGGUGUAAAGGGCGUGCAGCCGGGAAGACAAGUCAGAUGUGAAAUCCCGCGGCUCAACCGCGGAACUGCAUUUGAAACUGUUUGUCUUGAGUACCGGAGAGGUCAUCGGAAUUCCUUGUGUAGCGGUGAAAUGCGUAGAUAUAAGGAAGAACACCAGUGGCGAAGGCGGAUGACUGGACGGCAACUGACGGUGAGGCGCGAAAGCGUGGGGAGCAAACAGGAUUAGAUACCCCAGUC
RNAcentral lists this ribosomal RNA (457 nucleotides) under uncultured bacterium. RNAcentral's name for it is "partial 16S ribosomal RNA". It matches the Rfam family "Bacterial small subunit ribosomal RNA", at positions 338 to 792 of the family's 1533-position model. The record is from RNAcentral.